CUUGAAUCUACAGGUGUGGCUGGUCUGGUCUGGGGUAGGAUGCGUGCUGACUUUCUGCUUUCACAGGGAGAGGGUCAGUAGUGAUGCGUGAACUUACCUCUUGGGGGCCCCUCAGAACAGCCUCCACCCCCAGGUGAGGCUGUAAACUUGGGAAAGACAAAGCGCAGGCCACCAUCUGUUUCCCAUCUCCAGCCCCCGAGUCUCUGCAGGCUCUUGAUGCAGGCUGUGUAUGGACCCAGGGACCUGGCUGCAGCCAGCAGGCAGCAGUUG
This 270-nucleotide long non-coding RNA is filed under the name Homo sapiens (human). RNAcentral's name for it is "LHRI_LNC1137.1". Lineage: Eukaryota; Metazoa; Chordata; Mammalia; Primates; Hominidae. The record is from RNAcentral.